UACACUCCUGCGGGAGGCAGCAGUGGGGAAUAUUGGACAAUGGGGGCAACCCUGAUCCAGCCAUGCCGCGUGAGUGAUGAAGGCCCUAGGGUUGUAAAGCUCUUUUGUGCGGGAAGAUAAUGACGGUACCGCAAGAAUAAGCCCCGGCUAACUUCGUGCCAGCAGCCGCGGUAAUACGAAGGGGGCUAGCGUUGCUCGGAAUCACUGGGCGUAAAGGGUGCGUAGGCGGGUCUUUAAGUCAGGGGUGAAAUCCUGGAGCUCAACUCCAGAACUGCCUUUGAUACUGAGGAUCUUGAGUCCGGAAGAGGUGAGUGGAACUGCGAGUGUAGAGGUGAAAUUCGUAGAUAUUCGCAAGAACACCAGUGGCGAAGGCGGCUCACUGGUCCGGUACUGACGCUGAGGCACGAAAGCGUGGGGAGCAAACAGGAUUAGAAACCCUAGUAGUCCCAUG
RNAcentral lists this ribosomal RNA (451 nucleotides) under uncultured organism. RNAcentral's name for it is "partial 16S ribosomal RNA". It matches the Rfam family "Bacterial small subunit ribosomal RNA", at positions 332 to 799 of the family's 1533-position model. The record is from RNAcentral.